This is a non-coding RNA of Arachis ipaensis, 984 nucleotides long. NCBI's taxonomy places the organism in Eukaryota, Viridiplantae, Streptophyta, Magnoliopsida, Fabales, Fabaceae. The record is from RefSeq and is a predicted model, not a curated record.
AGGCUCGUCUAUGCAGGCAAUGCAGGUCACUAUCACCUUCUCCAUGUUGCUAUGAUGAAUGAAAUUGCUCUAAUCAGUAAUCCUAAUUUCAUGAAAAAGUUUUAAGUUGUUUUGCUUGCAUUUACAUCUUAUAAAAACUAGUCUAGUAAUAUACUUAAUGCCUAACAAAGAAUUUCAUUGCAGUGAAUUCAUUAUGACCUGGUGAUGGUGGAUUGGUGGUAAACCCUUCCAUUCCUCAGCCUCAGAAGUACCACGAUUUCGCUGACAAACGCACUUUCUUCGGUAUUAUUUUUAUUUUCUACAAUUCAACUUCACACCAACUUAAUAAAUUGAAUGUCACCUUAACUAACUAUAUGGCCUGUUCAAAUUUGCAUCAUGCAUUGUCAUACCUCUAAUGGCUUAUUUGUUGCCUCCAACCUACACUCAUUCAUCGUUUUGGCUCUUGGCUUCAGGUUUGGAAUUCUGAUGUAAUAGUACAAUCAAUACUCGUUUACAAAUAUCAUCUUCCAAUUUUAAUCUUUUGCAUGAUUUUAUCCUCUAGCUAUGGCUCAAGAGAGCACGGACAGGGCAUAUUGUGAGUGGUCACACGCUUAUGCACUUGUCUGCUGCAAUGGUUCCUGUCAUCACAACAUUCAUGCUUGCAAAGAGGAGGCCUUUGCAUGCAAAAUCUGUUUAACGCAUGCAGCAUUUCCUGGACGAUGUGGAGCGAAGCCAUAUUUUCUCUCUUGCAGAACUAUAGCAACUAAUAAAAGUUCAUAGUAACAUAUUUAUUAAUGGAACCAAUAAGUAAAGGAUGAUGCUAACAUCCAUGAUAAUGUAAAUUAUAACUGUUGCUUUGUUUCCUUCUUGUUGCCAAGAUGACUUUUGCACCAAUUUUUUAUUAUUUAGUGAUUUAUGGAUUGAUAGCUAGCUAGCCUCAACCACCUAAACCAGCAAUGCAUUUCAUACUCAUAUGGUAGCUGGACCUAAAUGAAGAAAAAAAAA